Molecule: ribosomal RNA, 497 nt
Filed under: uncultured soil bacterium
Lineage: Bacteria
Description: bacterial SSU rRNA
Rfam family: Bacterial small subunit ribosomal RNA
Source: RNAcentral
AGAUUGAACGCUGGCGGCAGGCCUAACACAUGCAAGUCGAGCGGCAGCACGGGUACUUGUACCUGGUGGCGAGCGGCGGACGGGUGAGUAUUGCCUAGGAAUCUGCCUGGUAGUGGGGGAUAACGCUCGGAAACGGACGCUAAUACCGCAUACGUCCUACGGGAGAAAGCAGGGGACCUUCGGGCCUUGCGCUAUCAGAUGAGCCUAGGUCGGAUUAGCUAGUUGGUGGGGUAAUGGCUCACCAAGGCGACGAUCCGUAACUGGUCUGAGAGGAUGAUCAGUCACACUGGAACUGAGACACGGUCCAGACUCCUACGGGAGGCAGCAGUGGGGAAUAUUGGACAAUGGGCGAAAGUCUGAUCCAGCCAUGCCGCGUGUGUGAAGAAGGUCUUCGGAUUGUAAAAGCACUUUAAGUUGGAGGAAGGCAGUUACCUAAUACGUAUCUGUUUUGACGUUACCGACAGAAUAAGCAACCGGCUAAACUCUGUGCCAGCACG